Molecule: unclassified non-coding RNA, 430 nt
Filed under: Zea mays
Lineage: Eukaryota; Viridiplantae; Streptophyta; Magnoliopsida; Poales; Poaceae
Description: misc RNA Zm00001eb278520
Source: RNAcentral
AGUCCCUGAACGCGCACGCCUGCAUCAACCAAACCGCCAUUUCUUUUUAUAAUAAUAAUAAUAAUAGAGGAUGGAUGGAUCAUGGACGGAGGUUUCAGUUUGAGGCCCAGUUUUCAGUUUGGUUGGUGUCUGUUGUUGUUUUCUGGAAAAGCAGACUUUAAAAAUAGCCUUUUUUUUUGGUUAGAUCUUUGGUUUUUAGAAAGCAAAAAACCAGUCCCCAAAAGUCCAAUCCAACAAAACCUUAGUCUUCAAUGGGUGCUUCCAUUCUACAAAAUGAGAAAGCUUUUGCCUUUAAUUUGCAGGAGCACUACUCGCCACAGUUUCAGAGUUUCUUACUAUUUCUUGGAAUUAAUAACAGACGGCUCCAGAGUUUCAGUAAAGUGCCGACAUUUGCUUAAGAAGCUGACCUGCUUUGUGCAUCCGGGCGUCU